AAAAGAAAACAAGGGCGAAUGGUGGAUACCUAGGCUCUCAGAGGCGAAGAAGGACGUGAUAAGCUGCGAUAAGCUGCGGGUAGGUGCAAAUAACCAUUCAUCCGCAGAUUUCCGAAUGGGGCAACCCGUCAAGUUGAAGGCUUGACAUCCUGCAAGCAGGAGGCAAACGUGGGGAACUGAAACAUCUAAGUACCCAUAGGAGAAGAAAACAAAUGUGAUUCCCUUAGUAGUGGCGAGCGAAACGGGAAAAGCCCAAACCAGUGUUGUUCAGGCAUCACUGGGGUUGUAGGACUGGGUCGUGGACUUAUAAAUCAGAGAAGAACGCUUUGGAAAAAGCGGCAGCAUAGCGUGAAAGCCGCGUAUUCGAAUGAUUUAUAUACCUACCAGUAUCCUGAGUAGCGCGGGACACGAGAAAUCCUGUGUGAAACUGCCGGGACCAUCCGGUAAGGCUAAAUACUCCUGAGAGACCGAUAGUGAACCAGUACUGUGAAGGAAAGGUGAAAAGUACCUCAAGCAGAGGAGUGAAAUAGAACUUGAAACCGUUCGCCUACAAGCGGUCGGAGCAUCUUAAUGAUGUGACGGCGUGCCUUUUGCAUAAUGAUCCUACGAGUUACUUUCACUGGCAAGGCUAAGCACUUCAGGUGCGCAGCCGAAGCGAAAGCGAGUCUUAACAGGGCGCGUAGGGGCGAAUAAUAUUCGCCCUAUCUAGUCAGUGGGAGUAGACGCGAAACCAAGUGAUCUACCCUUGAGCAGGUUGAAGUUCCGGUAACACGGAAUGAAGGACCGAACCGGUAAACGUUGAAAAGUUUUCGGAUGACUUGAGGGUAGGGGUGAAAGGCUAAUCAAACUUGGAGAUAGCUCGUACUCCCCGAAAUGCCUUUAGGGGCAGCGUUGAGAUAAGUUUAUAAGAGGUAGAGCGACUGAUUGGAUGCGAGGGCUUCACCGCCUAUCAAGUCCUGAUAAACUCCGAAUGCUUAUAAAUGUUUCUUGGCAGUGAGGGCAUGGGUGCUAAGGUCCAUGUCCGAGAGGAGAAGAAUCCAGACCAUCAGCUAAGGUCCCCAAAUAACAGUUAAGUUGAAAAAACGAAGUUCCAUCGCAGCGACAGCUAGGAUGUUGGCUUGGAAGCAGCCAUUCAUUUAAAGAGUGCGUAACAGCUCACUAGUCGAGCGAAGGAGCGUGGAUAAUAAUCGGGCAUUAAACUGUUUACCGAAGCUAUGGAUUCGAAAGAAUGGUAGGGGAGCAUUCCAGUACCGUCGAAGAUGGGGCGCAAGCCCUGUUGGAGGUGCUGGAAAAGCAAAUGUAGGAAUGAGUAACGAUAAAGAGAGUGAGAAACUCUCUCGCCGAAAGACUAAGGUUUCCUGAUCAAUGCUAAUCAGAUCAGGGUAAGUCGGGGCCUAAGGAUCAGCCGACAGGCGAAGCCGAUGGAAGAACCGGUUAAUAUUCCGGUACUACUUAUUAGAGUGAUGUGGGGACGAAGGCGUGACAGUCCUGCCAUCUGACGGAAUAGAUGGUUAAAGGGUGUAGAUAUUGAUUCUUGCAGGCAAAUCCGCAGGAAGAGUCGAACCUGACAGUAUCACAAUCCCCUGGGAAAGUGAAUAUGGACGUAAACAGACUUCCAAGAAAAUCCGCUAAACUUAAUCUUAUAAGUACCCGUACCACAAACCGACACAGGUAGUCGAGUAUAGAGUACUAAGGCGCUCGAGUGAUUCGCGGUUAAGGAACUAGGCAAAAUAGUCCUGUAACUUCGGGAAAAAGGACACCCCAUGUGAAAGUGGGGUCGCAGAGAAAUGGCUCAGGCGACUGUUUAACAAAAACACAGGGCUAUGCAAAAUCGAAAGAUGAGGUAUAUGGCCUGACACCUGCCCGGUGCCGGAAGGUUAAGAGGAGAAGUUAUCGCAAGAGAAGCUUUGAAUUGAAGCCCCGGUAAACGGCGGCCGUAACUAUAACGGUCCUAAGGUAGCGAAAUUCCUUGUCGGGUAAGUUCCGACCUGCACGAAUGGUGUA
Molecule: ribosomal RNA, 2004 nt
Filed under: termite gut metagenome
Description: bacterial LSU rRNA
Rfam family: Bacterial large subunit ribosomal RNA
Source: RNAcentral